This 431-nucleotide ribosomal RNA is filed under the name uncultured bacterium. Its description in RNAcentral is "partial 16S ribosomal RNA". It matches the Rfam family "Bacterial small subunit ribosomal RNA", at positions 29 to 507 of the family's 1533-position model. The record is from RNAcentral.
AACGAACGCUGGCGGCAGGCUUAACACAUGCAAGUCGAACGCCCCGCAAGGGGAGUGGCAGACGGGUGAGUAACGCGUGGGAACAUACCCUUUCCUGCGGAAUAGCUCCGGGAAACUGGAAUUAAUACCGCAUACGCCCUACGGGGGAAAGAUUUAUCGGGGAAGGAUUGGCCCGCGUUGGAUUAGCUAGUUGGUGGGGUAAAGGCCUACCAAGGCGACGAUCCAUAGCUGGUCUGAGAGGAUGAUCAGCCACAUUGGGACUGAGACACGGCCCAAACUCCUACGGGAGGCAGCGGUGGGGAAUAUUGGACAAGGGCCGAAGGCCUGACCCACCCAGGCCGGGUGAGUGAUGAGGGCCUUGGGGUUGAAAAGCUCUUUCACCGAUGAAGAUAAUGAGGGGAGUCGAAAAAGAACCCCGGCCUAACUUCGUG